CAGGACUUGACAUCCCUAUGACAGUACCUUAACCGGUAUUUCCCUUCGGGGACAGAGGAGACAGGUGGUGCAUGGUUGUCGUCAGCUCGUGUCGUGAGAUGUUGGGUUAAGUCCCGCAACGAGCGCAACCCUUGUCUUUAGUUGCCAUCAGGUAAAGCUGGGCACUCUAGAGAGACUGCCGGUGAUAAACCGGAGGAAGGUGGGGAUGACGUCAAGUCAUCAUGCCCCUUAUGUCCAGGGCUACACACGUGCUACAUUGGCCGGUACAAAGGGCUGCAAACCCGCGAGGGGGAGCGAAUCCCAAAAAGCCGGUCCCGGUUCGGAUUGGAGGCUGAAACUCGCCUCCAUGAAGUCGGAGUUGCUAGUAAUCGCGGAUCAGCAACGCCGCGGUGAAUAUGUUCCCGGGCCUUGUACACACCGCCCGUCACACCACGAAAGUCGGCAACACCCGAAGCCGGUGGCCUAACCCCUUGUGGGAGGGAACCGUCGAAGGUGGGGUUGAUGAUUGGGGUG
This 513-nucleotide ribosomal RNA is filed under the name uncultured bacterium. Its description in RNAcentral is "bacterial SSU rRNA". It matches the Rfam family "Bacterial small subunit ribosomal RNA", at positions 975 to 1482 of the family's 1533-position model. The record is from RNAcentral.